GCUCCAUAAUAUAGUUUAGUCUUUCAUAUAUCAAUUAUCCUUAAAUAGAAUGAAAUGAUGAAGAAAUGAAAACUCUUGAAGGAAAAAAAAAGAAUAAUUGAAGGUGUUCUUGUUGCAUUUUGAUUGGUCUAUCUAUCCUUGCAAAAUUCUGUUCUACAUCAUCCAUUUCUUCUUUUGAUUUUGUCGAGGAUGAUGUCUUCCAUGAAUUCCGCUUACUCCAACUUGAUCCAAUUUGUUUCUUGCAAUCUUGC
Arachis duranensis is the source of this 251-nucleotide long non-coding RNA. RefSeq lists it as uncharacterized. The record is from RefSeq and is a predicted model, not a curated record. Lineage: Eukaryota; Viridiplantae; Streptophyta; Magnoliopsida; Fabales; Fabaceae. The transcript is spliced from 2 exons.